Molecule: ribosomal RNA, 462 nt
Filed under: Leeuwenhoekiella sp. S17
Lineage: Bacteria; Pseudomonadati; Bacteroidota; Flavobacteriia; Flavobacteriales; Flavobacteriaceae
Description: bacterial SSU rRNA
Rfam family: Bacterial small subunit ribosomal RNA
Source: RNAcentral
GAUGAACGCUAGCGGCAGGCCUAACACAUGCAAGUCGAACGGUAACAGGGAAAAGCUUGCUUUUCUGCUGACGAGUGGCGCACGGGUGCGUAACGCGUAUGCAAUCUGCCUUGUACUGGAGUAUAGCCCAGGGAAACUUGGAUUAAUCCUCCAUAGUCUAUUGAAUUGGCAUCAUUUUAAUAGUAAAGGUUACGGUACAAGAUGAGCAUGCGUCCUAUUAGCUAGUAGGUGUGGUAACGGCACACCUAGGCAACGAUAGGUAGGGGUCCUGAGAGGGAGAUCCCCCACACUGGUACUGAGACACGGACCAGACUCCUACGGGAGGCAGCAGUGAGGAAUAUUGGACAAUGGGCGCAAGCCUGAUCCAGCCAUGCCGCGUGCAGGAAGACGGCCCUAUGGGUUGUAAACUGCUUUUAUAUGGGAAGAAUAAGGUCUACGUGUAGGCUGAUGACGGUACCAUAA